GUCCUUGUCGAUUAGGGGUUAAAUCAUCUCGUUGUGGAUCGUUUAAUCAUAACCGAGAAGCCGGAAGUUCGAAUCCUCCCUGGGACA
RNAcentral lists this transfer RNA (87 nucleotides) under Ephemerocybe angulata. RNAcentral's name for it is "Coprinellus angulatus tRNA". It matches the Rfam family "tRNA". From Rfam's summary of the family: Transfer RNA (tRNA) molecules are approximately 80 nucleotides in length. Their secondary structure includes four short double-helical elements and three loops (D, anti-codon, and T loops). The record is from Rfam by way of RNAcentral. Lineage: Eukaryota; Fungi; Basidiomycota; Agaricomycetes; Agaricales; Psathyrellaceae.